This 440-nucleotide ribosomal RNA is filed under the name uncultured bacterium. Its description in RNAcentral is "partial 16S ribosomal RNA". It matches the Rfam family "Bacterial small subunit ribosomal RNA", at positions 338 to 795 of the family's 1533-position model. The record is from RNAcentral.
CCUACGGGAGGCAGCAGUGGGGAAUAUUGGACAAUGGGGGGAACCCUGAUCCAGCGACGCCGCGUGAGUGAAGAAGUAUCUCGGUAUGUAAAGCUUCAUCAGCAGGGAAGAAAAUGACGGUACGUGUCCAAUAAGCUCCGGCUAACUACGUGCCAGCAGCCGCGGUAACACGGAGGGGGCAAGCGUUACCCGGAUUUACUGGGUGUAAAGGGAGCGUAGGCGGUUCAGCAAGUCUGAUGUGAAAGGUAGGGGCCCAACCGCGGGACUGCAUUGGAAACUGGUGAACUGGAGUACAGGAGAGGUAAGCGGAAUUCCUAGUGUAGCGGUGAAAUGCGUAGAUAUUAGGAAGAACACCAAUUGCGAAGGCAGCUUACUGGACUGUAACUGACGUUGAGGCUCGAAAGCGUGGGUAGCAAACAGGAUUAGAUACCCGAGUAGUC